GUGCUCGUUUCGGCAGCACAUAUACUAAAAUUGGAACGGUGCAGAGAAGAUUAGCAUGGCCCCUGAGCAAGGAUGACACGCAAAUUCGUGAAGUGUUCCAUAUCUUU
Molecule: small nuclear RNA, 107 nt
Organism: Otolemur garnettii (small-eared galago)
Lineage: Eukaryota; Metazoa; Chordata; Mammalia; Primates; Galagidae
Source: Ensembl